CACACGACUCUCGGCAACGGAUAUCUCGGCUCUCGCAUCGAUGAGGAACG
This 50-nucleotide ribosomal RNA is filed under the name Achnatherum turcomanicum. Its description in RNAcentral is "partial 5.8S ribosomal RNA". Lineage: Eukaryota; Viridiplantae; Streptophyta; Magnoliopsida; Poales; Poaceae. The record is from RNAcentral.